GGUUAGACAAGUACUAUGGGAGGAAAGUAAAACAUCACGGAGUAGUAUGUUUAAUUUCAAUUCAUGAAAGCCAAGUAGCUGCUUAUUGUUUUUUUUUUUUUUUUUUUAUGAAGGUAGCUGGUUACUGUUUAUUACAUGAGUAGCGCCAUGUAGUAUGGAUUUUUUAGUUUAAUUUAUAAGGGUAAAGUAAAUAAUAAUAAUUGUUAAUGAAAAUUAUUAAUUGAUAUUCCUAUAUAUACCUUUAUUAUUUGUCACGCAAAUGUAACUAUGUAAGUAAUAUUGACAGUUAAUUUCCUUAGAAAUAAUUGCAAUUACUUAUUUUAUCUUGUAAAAUGAAUUACUCGUUUUAGAUGAACAAGAUCCAAAGUUUUUAUAUAUGAAAUGGUACAAAUUCAAGUGAGUGUCUUUUUUCUUGGUUUAGCAAUGAACAAAAGUCAUUCGUGCGUUAGUUCCAACUUCCAUCUCAAUAUUUCGAAAGAACCAGCAAUAUAUAGUCUUAUUAUUAUUACACAUUCAGAAGUCAAAUAAAGCUUUAAAAUUGUAUUAAAGAAAAGAGAAAGGAAAAAGCUGCUUUUUUAUUGCUUGCUACGUGUCUCCAACUAGGUAUAUAUUGUGUAAAUUCAAGAUUUAGAUUGUAAGUUUAAGGAAACAUGUGGG
Molecule: long non-coding RNA, 657 nt
Filed under: Glycine max (soybean)
Lineage: Eukaryota; Viridiplantae; Streptophyta; Magnoliopsida; Fabales; Fabaceae
Description: long non-coding RNA (GMAX_LNC003802)
Source: RNAcentral